CCAUGCAAAUAAUAUUGAUUCUCAAUAUACACCUUAUCCAUCCACUGAUCCUUCUGCGAAAGAAGCAAGUAAAUCAAAGCUGACUGAUCAUCAGCCUCAAAUGCUGGCCUCCCCUUCAAAUUUGCAGUCAAAAUUUUGCCAGCCUCCUCCCUUAUUGGCCCCUUAGGACCCAUUGGAGCCCAGGCAUCAAGCAAAUCCAAGCUCCACUUACAAUUCCUAAACAAGAAACUCCCAGUGUUCAAAGCAAUCCAUGAUUUUUGCUCGAACAACAAAUCAGGAUACCCAUGAAUCACCAAAUUAUGUUCAUCAUACUUGGAUAACGGGAUCUCAAAAACCAUAUCAGUAAACAUAGCAUCACUAUCCAUCCACCAAAUCCACUCCACUUCAGGAUGCGACAGCAUCAAUCUCCGAAUCAUGGGCAAUUUCGCCCAGUACCCAGCUAGUUCUUUGUCUAAAUGAGCCAUAUUAUAGACAAUCUCAAUCCCAUGAAUCCUACAAUAGUCGAUCUUAUUCUUUAUCGCCUUCAAUAAAUAAUGAUCUCCAAUCGGGUUAUCACAAGGGCUAGGAGGGGACCCGGUCAAGAGCAAAAUCCGAGGCUUCCCAUUAACAAAAUUAGGGAACUCGGGGUUUUGGUUAAGCCAUACCUUGCGUUCCUCGUCCCAAUUAGACAUUUUGGCGCCUAACGUAUAAGUGACGUUGGGGUUGAAAUCGGCCUCGGCUGGCUCAUCCGGAUCGGUGGGGUCUUUGUCGGAGCGGAUCUCGGCCAGAAUCCGGUUAGUCUCCUCGAUAAGAUUCUGGUUGAUAGCCUCAGCGUCAGAGUUGGUGAGGUUGCCAAUGCCGAUGGUACCACGGAGGACGAGAAUGGUGACGAAGCCACAAAGAAUAGUGAUCUUGAUGUUAUUGAAGGUCUUAUGAAUCUGCCUGCUGCGCGGCAUAGUUGCACGGCCUCCUCUGCCGUUGGCGGUUAUGGUGGGCAGGCCUCCUCCUCCGCCGCCGCUAGCUCUCUUCUGGGUAGUGAAGUUCUCUUGCCCCAUAUUAAAUUAUAGACUCAGAUGUGACAAUCAGAGAGAGAGACACACACAAUUUCUCUCUCUUCUGUUCGAGUAGUAUUUUAGCGUGUGGAUCUGGAAGGCAUUUAAUAAUAAUAAUAACAGUUAAAAGAAUUGUAUUCUCUUAGCUGUGAAAGGCUUGGAAGCGGAGGAAAAAUGUAAAACCCUAGGCGGCGGUUACAGUGGUGUUAGACGCGUUGGUAAUGGUUUUGGUAGAGGUGACUGGCAACAAUGGAAGAGUUAAAAAAUGGAGCUGUGAAC
Molecule: unclassified non-coding RNA, 1310 nt
Filed under: Hevea brasiliensis (rubber tree)
Lineage: Eukaryota; Viridiplantae; Streptophyta; Magnoliopsida; Malpighiales; Euphorbiaceae
Source: RNAcentral